This 770-nucleotide ribosomal RNA is filed under the name Dendropsophus minutus (lesser treefrog). Its description in RNAcentral is "partial 16S ribosomal RNA". Lineage: Eukaryota; Metazoa; Chordata; Amphibia; Anura; Hylidae. The record is from RNAcentral.
CAUCGAGGUCGUAAACCCAUUUGUCGAUAGGGGCUCUUAAAAUGGAUUGCGCUGUUAUCCCUAGGGUAACUUGGUUCGUUGAUCAAAAAUAUUGGGUCAAUUAAUGUUAAUUUAUUAGUGCUUAAAGUCGUGGCUUUUGGUUCAGGAGUAGCUCCGUUCAACAUGGAGGUUAAGUUUUGCUCCGUGGUCACCCCAACCUAAAACUAGUAAUCAUAGUGGCUAGAGUAGUUAUGAAAAUUCUGGAAUAUUUUAAUGUUUAAGCCAGUGUUACAUGGUUUAAAGCUCCAUAGGGUCUUCUCGUCUUAUAAUUAUAUCCCCGCUUCUUCACGGGGAGAUCAGUUUCAUUGAUUGGAAAAAGGAGACAGUAUAACCCUCGUGGUGCCAUUCAUACUAGUCCUCAUUUAAAGAACAAGUGAUUACGCUACCUUCGCACGGUUAGGAUACCGCGGCCGUUGAACUCAGUCACUGGGCAGGCUGGACCUCUUAUAUAGGUGCAAGAGGCGAUGUUUUUGGUAAACAGGCGAGGUUAAUGUUUGCCGAGUUCCUUCUUUUUCUUUAAAUCUUUCUUGAAAUGUUCUAGUGUUAGGUUAACGUCAAAUAAGGCAGGGUUUUCUUGAGGAGUUGCUGUCUUAAGUUCACAGACGUUUAAUUAUCAGUGGGGUGUCCUUUCUGAUUUACACUUACAUUUAAGAGAAGGUCUUACUUCUUAUUACUAGUUUUAACAUAAUACCUUCUAUAGGAAUAUAGAGAUGCUUAAUAGAAAUAAAGGG